RNAcentral lists this ribosomal RNA (468 nucleotides) under uncultured bacterium. RNAcentral's name for it is "partial 16S ribosomal RNA". It matches the Rfam family "Bacterial small subunit ribosomal RNA", at positions 28 to 507 of the family's 1533-position model. The record is from RNAcentral.
GACGAACGCUGGCGGCGUGCUUAACACAUGCAAGUCGAACGGAAAGGCCUGCAGCUUGCUGCGGGUACUCGAGUGGCGAACGGGUGAGUAACACGUGGGUGAUCUGCCUUGCACUUCGGGAUAAGCUUGGGAAACUGGGUCUAAUACCGGAUAGGACAGCUGUUUAGUGUCAGUUGUGGAAAGUUUUUUCGGUGCAAGAUGAGCUCGCGGCCUAUCAGCUUGUUGGUGGGGUAAUGGCCUACCAAGGCGUCGACGGGUAGCCGGCCUGAGAGGGUGUACGGCCACAUUGGGACUGAGAUACGGCCCAGACUCCUACGGGAGGCAGCAGUGGGGAAUAUUGCACAAUGGGCGGAGGCCUGAUGCAGCGACGCCGCGUGGGGGAUGAAGGCCUUCGGGUUGUAAACUCCUUUCGACAGGGACGAAGCUUUUGUGACGGUACCUGUAUAAGAAGCACCGGCUAACUACGUG